This 82-nucleotide transfer RNA is filed under the name Dyadobacter psychrotolerans. It matches the Rfam family "tRNA". Rfam says of the family: Transfer RNA (tRNA) molecules are approximately 80 nucleotides in length. Their secondary structure includes four short double-helical elements and three loops (D, anti-codon, and T loops). Further hydrogen bonds mediate the characteristic L-shaped molecular structure. tRNAs have two regions of fundamental functional importance: the anti-codon, which is responsible for specific mRNA codon recognition, and the 3' end, to which the tRNAs corresponding amino acid is attached (by aminoacyl-tRNA synthetases). tRNAs cope with the degeneracy of the genetic code in two manners: having more than one tRNA (with a specific anti-codon) for a particular amino acid; and 'wobble' base-pairing, i.e. permitting non-standard base-pairing at the 3rd anti-codon position. Lineage: Bacteria; Pseudomonadati; Bacteroidota; Cytophagia; Cytophagales; Spirosomataceae. The record is from Rfam by way of RNAcentral.
AGGUCAGUAGCUCAAUGGAUAGAGCAAGGGUUGCGCAACAUAAACUUUGACCGUGGUUGUGGGUUCGAAUCCCACCUGCCUG